This 833-nucleotide ribosomal RNA is filed under the name Aphelenchoides iranicus. RNAcentral describes it as "bacterial SSU rRNA". It matches the Rfam family "Eukaryotic small subunit ribosomal RNA", at positions 166 to 1044 of the family's 1831-position model. Lineage: Eukaryota; Metazoa; Nematoda; Chromadorea; Rhabditida; Aphelenchoididae. The record is from RNAcentral.
UAAUACGUGCCGAAAGCCGCAUUCAGCAAUGAGUGUGGUGCACUUAUCGGAGCAAAACCCUUCCUGGUUUUAUGCUAACUCUGGAUAACACUGCUUAUCGCACGACCUCGUGUCGGCGAAGUUACAUUCAAGUAUCUGCCUUAUCAACUAUCGUUGGUAGUGUAUUGGACUACCAUGGUGUUGACGGGUAACGGAGAAUCAGGGUUCGACUCCGGAGAGGGAGCCUUAGAAACGGCUACCAUGUCUAAGGACAGCAGCAGGCGCGCAACUUAUCCACUGUUCAUCGAACGAGAUAGUGACGAGAAAUAACAAGCCCGUUCUCUUUGAGGUCGGGCAUUGGAAUGGAUGGAAUGCAAACAAUUCCAUGAGUACCCACGAGAGGGCAAGUCUGGUGCCAGCAGCCGCGGUAAUUCCAGCUCUCGUAAUGUAUAGAAUUAUUGUUGCGGUUAAAAAGUUCGUAGUUGGAUUUUCUACCACUCGCAGGUCGUGCCUAACGGCGCGCACUUGUGGUGGUUUUUGCACGKUGARUYGAUUCGUCAGUUCCGCGUGCGGAUUACUUUGAACGGCUUAAGUGCUCAAGGCGAGUCUUCGGACUGAAUACCGGUGCAUGGAAUAAUGGAACAAGGUUUCGGCCGAGUUUUAUUGGUUUUGUCGGCUGAGACAAUGGUUAACAGGAACAGCUGGGGGCACUCGUAUCGCUACGCGAGAGGUGAAAUUCGUGGACCGUAGCGAGACGCCCGAAAGCGAAGGCAUUUGCCAAGAGUGUUUUCAUUAAUCAAGAACGAAAGUCAGAGGUUCGAAGGCGAUUAGAUACCGCCCUAGUUCUGAACCGU